GACGAACGCUGGCGGCGUGCUUAACACAUGCAAGUCGAACGGAAAGGCCCUGCUUUUGUGGGGAGCUCGAGUGGCGAACGGGUGAGUAACACGUGAGUAACCUGCCCUUGACUUUGGGAUAACUUCAGGAAACUGGGGCUAAUACCGGAUAGGAGCUCCUGCUGCAUGGUGGGGGUUGGAAAGUUUCGGCGGUUGGGGAUGGACUCGCGGCUUAUCAGCUUGUUGGUGGGGUAGUGGCUUACCAAGGCUUUGACGGGUAGCCGGCCUGAGAGGGUGACCGGCCACAUUGGGACUGAGAUACGGCCCAGACUCCUACGGGAGGCAGCAGUGGGGAAUAUUGCACAAUGGGCGGAAGCCUGAUGCAGCAACGCCGCGUGCGGGAUGACGGCCUUCGGGUUGUAAACCGCUUUCGCCUGUGACGAAGCGUGAGUGACGGUAAUGGGUAAAGAAGCACCGGCUAACUACGUG
RNAcentral lists this ribosomal RNA (468 nucleotides) under uncultured bacterium. RNAcentral's name for it is "partial 16S ribosomal RNA". It matches the Rfam family "Bacterial small subunit ribosomal RNA", at positions 28 to 507 of the family's 1533-position model. The record is from RNAcentral.